UACAGUCAUAUCAGGUUGGCACGUCGUUUCUCGUACGAUCACCGAAGUUAAGCAGAUUCAAGCCUAGCCAGUAACUUGCUGGGUGACCGCUUGGAAAUGCCAGGUGUUGUA
Molecule: non-coding RNA, 111 nt
Organism: Acanthosepion pharaonis
Lineage: Eukaryota; Metazoa; Mollusca; Cephalopoda; Sepiida; Sepiidae
Source: the annotation of a GenBank genome assembly